Molecule: ribosomal RNA, 506 nt
Filed under: uncultured bacterium
Lineage: Bacteria
Description: bacterial SSU rRNA
Rfam family: Bacterial small subunit ribosomal RNA
Source: RNAcentral
GAUGAACGCUAGCUACAGGCUUAACACAUGCAAGUCGAGGGGAAACGAUAGAGAAAGCUUGCUUUUUCUAGGCGUCGACCGGCGCACGGGUGAGUAACGCGUAUCCAACCUGCCCAUCACUUGGGGAUAACCUUGCGAAAGUAAGACUAAUACCCAAUGACGUCUCUAGAAGACAUCUGAAGGAGAUUAAAGAUUUAUCGGUGAUGGAUGGGGAUGCGUCUGAUUAGCUUGUUGGCGGGGUAACGGCCCACCAAGGCGACGAUCAGUAGGGGUUCUGAGAGGAAGGUCCCCCACAUUGGAACUGAGACACGGUCCAAACUCCUACGGGAGGCAGCAGUGAGGAAUAUUGGUCAAUGGGCGAGAGCCUGAACCAGCCAAGUAGCGUGCAGGAUGACGGCCCUAUGGGUUGUAAACUGCUUUUAUAAGGGAAUAAAGUGGGAGUCGUGACUCUUUUUGCAUGUACCUUAUGAAUAAGGACCGGCUAAUUCCGUGCCAGCAGCCGACGG